ACCUAUGACCAAAUCACUCUGAAUGUGCCCUAUCUCGUUACAUCUCGAGAGCUUAGCAGAGUUCGAGUCUGGUUGGUGCUUAGAUGAGAGAGUGCUUUGGAACUCCACGUGCUUAGGCU
This 119-nucleotide ribosomal RNA is filed under the name Petromyzon marinus (sea lamprey). The record is from RNAcentral. Lineage: Eukaryota; Metazoa; Chordata; Hyperoartia; Petromyzontiformes; Petromyzontidae.